AGUGAACGCUGGCGGUAGGCCUAACACAUGCAAGUCGAACGGCAGCACAGUAAGAGCUUGCUCUUACGGGUGGCGAGUGGCGGACGGGUGAGGAAUACAUCGGAAUCUACUUUUUCGUGGGGGAUAACGUAGGGACACUUACGCUAAUACCGCAUACGACCUACGGGUGAAAGCAGGGGAUCUUCGGACCUUGCGCGAUUGAAUGAGCCGAUGUCGGAUUAGCUAGUUGGCGGGGUAAAGGCCCACCAAGGCGACGAUCCGUAGCUGGUCUGAGAGGAUGAUCAGCCACACUGGAACUGAGACACGGUCCAGACUCCUACGGGAGGCAGCAGUGGGGAAUAUUGGACAAUGGGCGCAAGCCUGAUCCAGCCAUACCGCGUGUGUGAAGAAGGCCUUCGGGUUGUAAAGCCCUUUUGUUGGGAAAGAAAAGCAGCAGGUUAAUACCCCGCUGUUCUGACGGUACCAAAAGAAUAAGCACCGGCUAACUUCGUG
This 492-nucleotide ribosomal RNA is filed under the name uncultured bacterium. RNAcentral describes it as "partial 16S ribosomal RNA". It matches the Rfam family "Bacterial small subunit ribosomal RNA", at positions 29 to 507 of the family's 1533-position model. The record is from RNAcentral.